GUCCUUCUAGUAUACUAAAUACAACUGACUUCCAAUCAUUAAAACCUGGUCUCGUAACCCAGGGAAGGACA
RNAcentral lists this transfer RNA (71 nucleotides) under Sphyrapicus varius (yellow-bellied sapsucker). RNAcentral describes it as "tRNA-Gly". Lineage: Eukaryota; Metazoa; Chordata; Aves; Piciformes; Picidae. The record is from RNAcentral.